Molecule: long non-coding RNA, 456 nt
Organism: Nematostella vectensis (starlet sea anemone)
Lineage: Eukaryota; Metazoa; Cnidaria; Anthozoa; Actiniaria; Edwardsiidae
Exons: 2
Source: RefSeq, a predicted model, not a curated record
CAGGUGAAGACAAAGUAUCGCUUAUCUUGGAAAUGAGCAUAAAGCAAUGGAACACGCUGCUACUUGCGACCAGGGAUUACGUGAUCGGCCUAAUGUUCAGACUGGCGAGCAAGUGUCUGUGUGUGAUUGUACUUGUGUUGGUAAACCACUGAGAUUUGCCUAUUGACAAUGAGUCUGUUCUUCUUGGUUGAGCAGUGUUCAGUUCGCCAUCCGAAUGCUCAGCGGAACUUCAACUUAAGUUCUCAUGUUCAGGAUCGGAAGUCCUUGGGUUUCGUAUAUCUUUCUAGGAACAAGAUUUUGUUUAUUAGUGAUCAUUUCUUUAGUCUAGCUUGCAGCGCAUGCGAUAUCGUUGUAGACCUUUUGAGAGCCUAAAUCAUUCUCAAAAGGUCUACACCGUGGGUGUGUUCAAUUUCAAAUAUUGUGGCAGAAAAGUGAUUUAUUCUGUUGGUUUGUACA